UUUGGGACUUAGCGGCGAAUGGGUGAGUAACACGUACUUAACAUGCCCUCUAGAUUGGAAUAACGAUUAGAAAUGAUCGCUAAUGCCGGAUACUUAUUUCCUUCGCAUGAAGGAUAUAUAAAAGGAGCGUUUGCUUCGCUAGAGGAUUGGGGUGCGUAACAUUAGCUAGUUGGUAGGGUAAUGGCCUACCAAGGCUAUGAUGUUUAGCGGGGUUGAGAGACUGAUCCGCCACACUGGGACUGAGAUACGGCCCAGACUCCUACGGGAGGCAGCAGUAGGGAAUUUUCCACAAUGGACGAAAGUCUGAUGGAGCGACACAGCGUGCAGGAUGACGGCCUUCGGGUUGUAAACUGCUGUUAUAAGGGAAGAAAAAAUAAAGUAGGAAAUGACUUUAUCUUGACGGUACCUUGUCAGAAAGCAACGGCUAACUAUGUGCCAGCAGCCGCGGUAAUACAUAGGUUGCAAGCGUUAUCCGGAAUUAUUGGGCGUAAAGCGUCUGUAGGUUGUUUGUUAAGUCUGACGUGAAAACUUGGGGCUCAACCCCAAAUUGCGUUGGAUACUGGCAAACUAGAGUUAUGAAGAGGUUAGCGGAAUUCCUUGUGAAGCGGUGAAAUGCGUAGAUAUAAGGAAGAACACCAACUUGGCGAAGGCAGCUAACUGGGCAUACACUGACACUGAGAGACGAAAGCGUGGGGAGCAAACAGGAUUAGAUACCCUGGUAGUCCACGCUGUAAACGAUGAUGAUUAGCUGAUGGGGAACUCAUCGGCACAGCUAACGCAUUAAAUCAUCCGCCUGAGUAGUAUGCUCGCAAGAGUGAAACUUAAAGGAAUUGACGGGGAUCCGCACAAGCGGUGGAGCAUGUGGUUUAAUUUGAAGAUACGCGUAGAACCUUACCCACUCUUGACAUCUUUCGCAAAGCUAUA
Molecule: ribosomal RNA, 924 nt
Filed under: uncultured Mycoplasma sp.
Lineage: Bacteria; Bacillati; Mycoplasmatota; Mollicutes; Mycoplasmatales; Mycoplasmataceae
Description: bacterial SSU rRNA
Rfam family: Bacterial small subunit ribosomal RNA
Source: RNAcentral